Long non-coding RNA from Capsicum annuum, 2276 nucleotides. RefSeq lists it as uncharacterized. NCBI's taxonomy places the organism in Eukaryota, Viridiplantae, Streptophyta, Magnoliopsida, Solanales, Solanaceae. The record is from RefSeq and is a predicted model, not a curated record. The transcript has 2 exons.
CUUUUUUCUAGAAAUUAUAUAAUUCAUGUUAUUUUUAAUACAUCAAAUCAAACACUUCAUAAAAAAAAUAUAAAUAUAACUAAUACAAAUAUCACUAAUACAAGUAUUAACAAUACACCAUAUUUUUCAUAAUUUUUAUCUACUCUACCAAACUACCCCGGGAGUUAGAAGAAGUGAGUCUAUAUAUAGCCCUAUAAUCUACCUCUUCCUAUCCAAUGAAGUAUAAAGUUCUUAUUUCAUUUCCCUCCAUUCCCUUUUCCGUCGAUUUCUCAUUAAUGCUUUUUAACUUUAAAAAAUCCAACAGCACCUUCACAUAUAUCAGCCAUGGCAUCUCAAGACCAACACCCUUAAACCAAUCAACAAUCUAGGGUGCGCCUCUGACACCAUUGAGAUGCGAUUUCUAUUAACUUUCAUUGAAGAGGUGGAGGACGAGGAACCAACGAUGUUGGUGAGGAAGGGUUUAAUCUCCACGAUGAGUCCUCAUCCUUUUGAAAGGGAGUAAAUCUGGAUCAUUUCACAUUGUUCAGGGCCAAAUUAGCCUUUUUCUCUUCUAAAAAGUACUCAUGUAAUGGAAAGCUUCUGCUGUUACUGAAUAAGGGUAUAUUUGGAUCAACAUUAAAAUGACGAGGGUAUAUUUGACCCUACAUAUUAAUGGAAGACAGAUUUAGCCCAUUUUACAAAGUUCAGGCAAAAGUCUUGCAGCUGCUCAGGCAUUGCGUCGUGCACUUUCCACCACUUGUGGUGUGCAACAUCACUCGCGAAUUCUUGUAAGAUGUCUACGUUCCAAUUGCAAUCAUAGUCCCGGAAACACAACCAUGGCUUGUAUCCUAGGUAGUGAAGGACAUAAAGAAUCGGAGGAUCAGCCCCGAAAAGAUGUGUUUUCUUUGCUUUCACCACUUCAUCAUCACCAAUCCAGAAGUUCUUCAAGAAGUUCAUAUGCUUUGGUAUCCGAUGCCACCAAGUGAAUAUUUCGUUUAGGUAGCCUUGAUCACCUCCAUUAUAGGACUCAAUCUCAUUUAUGUGAUCCAUCAGGAGCUGGAACGUGCAAUUUGAUGGCUCGAUCACCAUGACACCGGAAUUAAAGAGCGUGCCAUUGUUUCCCGUAGCUGAAAUCUGUGGCAUCCUAAAUAAGAUGUCUAUGUUCCUAAGUAUAAGCAAAUCGGCAUCAAUGAAAAUGAUCUUGUCAUAAUCGGUCAGCUGCCAUAGCCUGAAUUUGCUGUAGUUCCAUUCAUUGUAGGCAUCUUUCUCUGCUUUAGGAUUUCUUAUUCUCUGUAUUGUCCUAACUUGCCAGCCUGCUGCCUCAAGUCCACUCCUAUGAUACUCACCAAUCGAAUCAUCAACGAGAAUCACGAGGUCCCUCGUGGACCCUACCAUUCUAAUGCUUUGUGCUGCUGCUAUGGCUCCACAUACAUAUACAUGAGCAGAAUGCAAGAUUGUUGCAUAUGCCUCACGCCUUUUGUUCCCCGUAUGUACUUCCUCUGUUACCAUAACAUAGACACUAUCAAUAUUUGAUAUCUUUGCAAAAGCAUUCACAUCGAAAGAAGGAAAAAACAAUAAAGUAUAUGUUACCUGUUGUACCAAAGGGUAGUGCAAGUUCACAUGAUCCUACAGGAAGUUGAACUUUUUCUCUUAGAACACUCAGAUCGGGCUUGUACAACCAGGCAUUACCUUUUCUAGCAAUGAGCUCUUUGCACCUAUAAAGAUUCGGUAUAGGGAAGCAUUUGGUUAUGAAAAGCAAAUGCACAGGAUGUUUACCCUUAGCAGAGGAAGCUAAACCAGCUGCAGCAAGUUGCAAGUGCAAUCGCGCAACAUCUCUAGACCAAUUCCCUUCAUUUCUACAAGGUAACUUGACAGCUAUGAGAUCGAUUCGUGUCCUAGGAACUUCAAGUUUUGGCAAAGUAGGACAACUUUGAACUUCAUCUUCUUGUUCUUCAUCAAUCCACUCUGGAUACAAGGUGUCCCAAGUCACAUUUUUUCCGGCGUAGUCCAGGUACAGGACUGUUUUAUUCGCAUUAGGAACAACUUGUGUCCAUUUAUUGAUUUCAUCUUUGUUGAAAUUUAGAAGGCCAAUGUUCUCAACAACUUUGUUUUGGUCAGGCAAUUGAUCCAAAACUUGAGAUACUUCCUCCCAACUGAUGUCUAUAUCUGAUAUGUAUCUAGGAUCUGAAGCACCCCAUAUCCAUCUGUUCACAAAAUGUUGCCUGCAUUACAUAAUUUCUUUCCAUUAAUAAACAACUAAUUAGCUAUGAGGCCCUCUAUUUUGAAUUUCAAGCCAA